GACGAACGCUGGCGGCGUGCUUAACACAUGCAAGUCGAACGGAAAGGCCCUGCUUUUGUGGGGUGCUCGAGUGGCGAACGGGUGAGUAACACGUGAGUAACCUGCCCUUGACUUUCGGAUAACUUCAGGAAACUGGGGCUAAUACCGGAUAGGAUCUCCUGCUGCAUGGUGGGGGUUGGAAAGUUUCGGCGGUUGGGGAUGGACUCGCGGCUUAUCAGCUUGUUGGUGGGGUAGUGGCUUACCAAGGCUUUGACGGGUAGCCGGUCUGAGAGGGUGACCGGCCACAUUGGGACUGAGAUACGGCCCAGACGCCUACGGGAGGCAGCAGUGGGGAAUAUUGCACAGUGGGCGGAAGCCUGAUGCAGCAACGCCGCGUGCGGGAUGACGGCCUUCGGGUUGUGAACCGCUUUCGCCUGUGACGAAGCGUGAGUGACGGUAAUGGGUAAAGAAGCACCGGCUAACUACGUG
This 468-nucleotide ribosomal RNA is filed under the name uncultured bacterium. Its description in RNAcentral is "partial 16S ribosomal RNA". It matches the Rfam family "Bacterial small subunit ribosomal RNA", at positions 28 to 507 of the family's 1533-position model. The record is from RNAcentral.